GAUGAACGCUGGCGGCGUGCCUAAUACAUGCAAGUCGAGCGAACAGAUGAGGAGCUUGCUCCUCUGACGUUAGCGGCGGACGGGUGAGUAACACGUGGGUAACCUACCUAUAAGACUGGGAUAACUUCGGGAAACCGGAGCUAAUACCGGAUAAUAUAUCGAACCGCAUGGUUCGAUAGUGAAAGAUGGCUUUGCUAUCACUUAUAGAUGGACCCGCGCCGCAUUAGCUAGUUGGUAAGGUAACGGCUUACCAAGGCAACGAUACGUAGCCGACCUGAGAGGGUGAUCGGCCACACUGGAACUGAGACACGGUCCAGACUCCUACGGGAGGCAGCAGUAGGGAAUCUUCCGCAAUGGGCGAAAGCCUGACGGAGCAACGCCGCGUGAGUGAUGAAGGUCUUCGGAUCGUAAAACUCUGUUAUUAGGGAAGAACAAACGUGUAAGUAACUGUGCACGUCUUGACGGUACCUAAUCAGAAAGCCACGGCUAACUACGUG
Molecule: ribosomal RNA, 497 nt
Filed under: uncultured bacterium
Lineage: Bacteria
Description: partial 16S ribosomal RNA
Rfam family: Bacterial small subunit ribosomal RNA
Source: RNAcentral